UACGUAGGGUGCAAGCGUUAAUCGGAAUUACUGGGCGUAAAGCGUGCGCAGGCGGUUCGCUAAGACCGAUGUGAAAUCCCCCGGGCUUAACCUGGGAACUGCAUUGGUGACUGGCGGGCUAGAGUAUGGCAGAGGGGGGGUAGAAUUCCACGUGUAGCAGUGAAAUGCGUAGAGAUGUGGAGGAAUACCGAUGGCGAAGGCAGCCCCCUGGGCUAACACUGACGCUCAGGCACGAAAGCGUGGGGAGCAAACAGG
RNAcentral lists this ribosomal RNA (255 nucleotides) under uncultured bacterium. RNAcentral's name for it is "partial 16S ribosomal RNA". It matches the Rfam family "Bacterial small subunit ribosomal RNA", at positions 524 to 776 of the family's 1533-position model. The record is from RNAcentral.